Molecule: ribosomal RNA, 406 nt
Filed under: uncultured bacterium
Lineage: Bacteria
Description: partial 16S ribosomal RNA
Rfam family: Bacterial small subunit ribosomal RNA
Source: RNAcentral
AUUGAACGCUGGCGGUAGGCCUAACACAUGCAAGUCGAACGAGUGGCGGACGGGUGAGGAAUACAUCGGAAUCUACUCUGUCGUGGGGGAUAACGUCUGGAAACGUACGCUAAUACCGCAUACGAUCGAAUGAGCCGAUGUCGGAUUAGCUAGUUGGCGGGGUAACGGCCCACCAAGGCGACGAUCCGUAGCUGGUCUGAGAGGAUGAUCAGCCACACUGGAACUGAGACACGGUCCAGACUCCUACGGGAGGCAGCAGUGGGGAAUAUUGGACAAUGGGCGAAAGCCUGAUCCAGCCAUGCCGCGUGUGUGAAGAAGGUCUUCGGGUUGUAAAGUACUUUAAGUUGGGAGGCGUUACCAACAGAAUAAGCACCGGCUAACUCCGUGCCAGCAGCCGCGGUAAUAC